Molecule: ribosomal RNA, 1181 nt
Filed under: Enterococcus faecium
Lineage: Bacteria; Bacillati; Bacillota; Bacilli; Lactobacillales; Enterococcaceae
Description: bacterial SSU rRNA
Rfam family: Bacterial small subunit ribosomal RNA
Source: RNAcentral
CUAUACAUGCAGUCGUACGCUUCUUUUUCCACCGGAGCUUGCUCCACCGGAAAAAGAGGAGUGGCGAACGGGUGAGUAACACGUGGGUAACCUGCCCAUCAGAAGGGGAUAACACUUGGAAACAGGUGCUAAUACCGUAUAACAAUCGAAACCGCAUGGUUUUGAUUUGAAAGGCGCUUUCGGGUGUCGCUGAUGGAUGGACCCGCGGUGCAUUAGCUAGUUGGUGAGGUAACGGCUCACCAAGGCCACGAUGCAUAGCCGACCUGAGAGGGUGAUCGGCCACAUUGGGACUGAGACACGGCCCAAACUCCUACGGGAGGCAGCAGUAGGGAAUCUUCGGCAAUGGACGAAAGUCUGACCGAGCAACGCCGCGUGAGUGAAGAAGGUUUUCGGAUCGUAAAACUCUGUUGUUAGAGAAGAACAAGGAUGAGAGUAACUGUUCAUCCCUUGACGGUAUCUAACCAGAAAGCCACGGCUAACUACGUGCCAGCAGCCGCGGUAAUACGUAGGUGGCAAGCGUUGUCCGGAUUUAUUGGGCGUAAAGCGAGCGCAGGCGGUUUCUUAAGUCUGAUGUGAAAGCCCCCGGCUCAACCGGGGAGGGUCAUUGGAAACUGGGAGACUUGAGUGCAGAAGAGGAGAGUGGAAUUCCAUGUGUAGCGGUGAAAUGCGUAGAUAUAUGGAGGAACACCAGUGGCGAAGGCGGCUCUCUGGUCUGUAACUGACGCUGAGGCUCGAAAGCGUGGGGAGCAAACAGGAUUAGAUACCCUGGUAGUCCACGCCGUACACGAUGAGUGCUAAGUGUUGGAGGGUUUCCGCCCUUCAGUGCUGCAGCUAACGCAUUAAGCACUCCGCCUGGGGAGUACGACCGCAAGGUUGAAACUCAAAGGAAUUGACGGGGGCCCGCACAAGCGGUGGAGCAUGUGGUUUAAUUCGAAGCAACGCGAAGAACCUUACCAGGUCUUGACAUCCUUUGACCACUCUAGAGAUAGAGCUUCCCCUUCGGGGGCAAAGUGACAGGUGGUGCAUGGUUGUCGUCAGCUCGUGUCGUGAGAUGUUGGGUUAGUCCCGCAACGAGCGCAACCUUAUUGUUAGUUGCCAUCAUUCAGUUGGGCACUCUAGCAGGACUGCCGGUGACAACCGGAGGAAGGUGGGGAUGACGUCAAUCAUCAUGCCCCUUAUGA